AAAGAGUAGGGAAGUGUGUGAGCCAUGCGUCAAGAAAAGCCGCUAUUGUUUUACUUAAGCCCGUACCGUAAACCGACACAGGUGGAUGAGGAGAGAAUCCUAAGGCCGACGGGAGAAGCAUUGUUAAGGAACUCGGCAAAAUGACUCCGUAACUUCGGGAGAAGGAGUGCCAGCGAGAGCUGGCCGCAGAGAAUUGGCCCAAGCAACUGUUUAGCAAAAACACAGGUCUAUGCAAAACCGUAAGGUGAAGUAUAUGGGCUGACGCCUGCCCGGUGCUGGAAGGUUAAGAGGAGAGGUUAGCGGUAACGCGAAGCUUUGAAUUUAAGCCCCAGUAAACGGCGGCCGUAACGAUAACGGUCCCUAGGUAGCGAAAUUCCUUGUCGGGUAAGUUCCGACCCGCACGAAAGGCGUAAUGAUUUGGGCACUGUCUCAACAAUGCACCCGGUGAAAUUGAAAUACCAGUGAAGAUGCUGGUUACCUGCGCCAGGACGGAAAGACCCCAUGGAGCUUUACUCCAGCUUGAUACUGGGAUUCGGUAUUGCAUGUACAGGAUAGGUGGGAGGCUAGGAAGUGAUAACGCCAGUUGUCACGGAGCCGCUGUUGGGAUACCACCCUUGCAGUAUUGGAUUUCUAACCAGCGACCAUGAACUGGUCGGGGGAUAAUGUCAGGUGGGGAGUUUGACUGGGGCGGUCGCCUCCGAAAGGGUAUCGGAGGCGCUCAAAGGUUCCCUCAGAAUGGACGGAAACCAUUCGAAGAGUGCAAAGGCAGAAGGGAGCUUGACUGCGACACCGACGGGUGGAGCAGGUACGAAAGUAGGACUUAGUGAUCCGGUGGUAUAAAGUGGGAUUGCCAUCGCUCAACGGAUAAAAGCUACCCUGGGAUAACAGGCUUAUCACUCCCAAGAGUUCACAUCGACGGAGUGGUUUGGCACCUUGAUGUCGGCUCAUCGCAUCCUGGGGCUGAAGUAGGUCCCAAGGGUUGGGCUGUUCGCCCAUUAAAGCGGUACGCGAGCUGGGUUCAGAACGUCGUGAGACAGUUCGGUCCCUAUCCGGCGUGGGCGUAGGAUAUUUGAGAGGAGCUGUCCUUAGUACGAGAGGACCGGGAUGGACUGGCCGCUGGUGUAUCUGUUGCAUACCAAAUGCAUGGCAGAGUAGCCAAGCCGGGACGGGAUAAACGCUGAAGGCAUCUAAGCGUGAAGCCCCCCUCAAGAUGAGAUAUCCCUACGUAAGUAGUAAGACCCCUUGAAGACGACAAGGUAGAUAGGUCAGAGGUGGAAGUACAGUAAUGUAUGGAGCUGACUGAUACUAAUCGGUCGAGGGCAUGAUC
This 1327-nucleotide ribosomal RNA is filed under the name metagenome. Its description in RNAcentral is "bacterial LSU rRNA". It matches the Rfam family "Bacterial large subunit ribosomal RNA", at positions 1578 to 2925 of the family's 2925-position model. The record is from RNAcentral.